UUGUUAUUCGAAGGUUUUGUAUAAUUUCGACAGAAGCCGCUUCUCUGCAUAUUGUUUUAUUAACAUAUCCGAUUUUCAUGGAGUAUUUCCUUGUUUCAGGUCUCCGGUUAAUCUCUUUUUUUUACAUUUCAAGUUGAGACGUCUGAUUUCUUAUGAUUCUAUUUGAUUUCAUGCCGUCUUCAUUUAUUCUAUAUCAUCUAUAUCUCAACUCAACUGAUCCCGUAACCAUCUUGGCAUUCUAUAUCAUAUAUGUCAAAACUUCUCAUCCUAUCUCAUCUCAGCUGAUCCCAUAACUGUUCUGUAUCAAUUUAUUCUAUAUCAUCUAUGUAUGUCAAAACUUCUCAUCCUAUCACAUGUCAACUUAUCCAAUAACCAUCUAUAACUACUAUGUUAAAACAUGUCAUCUUAUCUCAUCUCAACUGACCCCAUAACUAUACUGCCUAAAUUUAUUCUAUAUCAUCUAAGUCAUCAAAUCCUAUCUCAUUUCAACUGAUUCCAUAACCAUCUUGGCAACCUAUAUCAUCUAUGUCAAAACUUCUCAUCUCAACUGACCAUCCUGUCUAAAUUUAUACAUAUCAUCGAUGUCAAAACAUCUCGUUCUAUCUCAUCUUAACAGGUCCCAUAACCAUCCUGUCUAGAUCCUAUCUCCAGUUUACUGUAUGUAUGUAUGUGAUUGGCGUUGCAACCGUUUAGCCGGUUAUAGCCGAAUCGACGAUAGUGCGCCACCUGUCUCUCUCCUUCGCAGUUCGGCGCCAGUUGGAGAUCCCAAGUGUAACCAGGUCGCUCUCCACCUGGUCCCUCCAACGGAGUGGAGGCCUUCCUCUUCCUCGGCUUCCUCCGGCGGGUACUGCAUCGAACACUUUCAGGGCUGGAGUGUUUUCGUCCAUUCGGACAACAUGACCUAGCCAUUGUAGCCGCUGUCUUUUUAUUCGCUGAACUAUGUCAAUGUCGUCGUAUAACUCGUACAGCUCAUCGUUCCAUUGUCUGCGGUAUUCGCCGUAGCCAAUGUUCUGAGGACCAUAAAUCUUGCGCAAAAUUUUCCUCUCGAAAACUCCUAGUGUCGUCUCAUCGGAUGUUGACAUCGUCCAAGCUUCUGCACCGUAAAGCAGGACGGGAAUGAUAAGCGACUUGUAGAGCUUGAUUUUGGUUCGUCGAGAGAGGACUUUACUGUUCAAUUGCCUACUCAGUCCAAAGUAACAACUGUUCUCCGGUCUACUAAUCUGAUAUAUUUUCAUAACAUUUAAUCUUGUAACAGCUCAUCUCACGUCAACGUCAACGUCAACGCCUUUCGCCUUAUCUCUUUCUAUCUCAUUAUUCGCAUCGUUCGACUGAAUUAAGGUCCUACGUGUGGCAACAAAUUAGUAUUUAAUAUAUUACUUCUAGGAAUUCAUUUUGUUUAGGAUUUAGUAAGGUCCGAUUUCAUCGAUUUAUCAUAUCGAGGAUCUAUCAACUAGGACACAUUAUACUUGCUUCACUAAAUCACUAUAACAAUAAACAACAAGCAAUACAUUGAAAUAAGUUUCACUUGAAAAUCACAUUUUCCAAUCAUAUCAAAAUUUUCGUCAGAAAGAAAGGCCGCAAAAAAUUUUUCGUUUGUAACUUUUUGUUUCGCUGGAAUUUCUAAACUAAGUUCUUUAAGAAAUCGUGCGAAGAUGUGCUAUCCCUGCUGCAGUCCAUACUCCUGCUGCUCGCCCUGUUGUGGGCCAUGCAGACCAUGCGGACCGUGUGGCCCUUGCGGCCCAUGUGGUCCCUGCAACCCAUGCGUACCGUGUGGACCGAGUGGAUCGUAUGGCUCAUGUCUUGAUUGUCGUAAACCCUGUGGUGAAUCAAAUAUAUGCCGACCCACGGGAUGUUUCUAUUUCGGGUGAUAACCAUCGACGUGUACACGAGUUAUAGAAAGUGUGUUUGCCAGCCAUAUGCGUCUAGUGCGUCCAUUGUUGUUGCCGGCAAUGUGUGCUGCAAACACCGAACGUUUUGAAAUUUCGCAAUAAUAAAUGUUACAUAAAAAUCGAAUACGAGAAAACACACAUUGUGCUUCGUGAAGUUAAUGUGUUGUAAACACGAAAAUUGGCCAAUAAACAUGCACACGUUUUGACAUCAAAAAAAAU
This is a long non-coding RNA of Zeugodacus cucurbitae (melon fly), 2108 nucleotides long. RefSeq lists it as uncharacterized. NCBI's taxonomy places the organism in Eukaryota, Metazoa, Arthropoda, Insecta, Diptera, Tephritidae. The transcript has 2 exons. The record is from RefSeq and is a predicted model, not a curated record.